RNAcentral lists this ribosomal RNA (1867 nucleotides) under Nassulides labiatus. Its description in RNAcentral is "eukaryotic LSU rRNA". It matches the Rfam family "Eukaryotic large subunit ribosomal RNA", at positions 36 to 1874 of the family's 3401-position model. Lineage: Eukaryota; Ciliophora; Nassophorea; Nassulida; Nassulidae. The record is from RNAcentral.
AAGCAUAUCACUAAGCGGAGGAAAAGAAAUUAACUAAGAUUGCCUCAGUAGCGGCGAGCGAACAGGCAAAAGCUCAAGCCUUGAAUCUGAAGUGUUGUGCUUCAGAAUUGUAGUCUAAAGCGGCGGACAGAAGACAUGGAGUUUGUGUAACUCUCCUGGAAAGGAGGGCCGUAGAGGGUGAAAGCCCCGUUCCGCAAUGCUCCGGUUGUAUGUCUGUUAGCAUAGAGUCGGGUUGUUUGGGAUUGCAGCCCUAAGUGGGAGAUAAACUUCUUCUAAGGCUAAAUAUGGAUGGGAAACCGAUAGCGAACAAGUACUGUGAAGGAAAGAUGAAAAGAACUUUGGAAAGAGAGUUAAAAGGCUUGAAAUCGUUGAGAAGGAAGCGGUAGAAGAGUAUCAUAUUGGGGUGGACGUAAGGCUGGUGAGUGCCGGUGUGUGUGUGGUGUGGUACGUUAAAGGCCUACUAUACAUGUCACGACGGUGCUCUCGCUGUCUUCCAUCCCGAUUGCAAGAUGGGGUUUGAUUAUCAUGAUGGAGACGUUGUGUGGAAGGUCGCCUUCGGGCAGUCUAUACAAACUACAUCAUGACAAGCCUGAGGGUGCUACGGCGAUCUUGCUAAGAUGGCUUCUACCGACCCGUCUUGAAACACGGACCAAGGAGUCUAACACGUGCGCGAGUGUGCGAGUGUACUAAACUCAUACGCGUAAUGAAAGUGAGUAUAAGAUGUGAAGGUGUAUUCUUUAUAUGCCUGCAACAUCAACCGGCCAUGAUCUUCUGUGAGAGGUCUGAGUAAGAGCGUACUUGUUAGGACCCGAAAGAUGGUGAACUAUACUUGAGUAGGGUGAAGUCAGGGGAAACUCUGAUGGAAGCUCGCAGCGGUACUGACGUGCAAAUCGUUCGUCAAACUUGAGUAUAGGGGCGAAAGACUAAUCGAACCAUCUAGUAGCUGGUUCCCUCUGAAGUUUCUCUCAGGAUAGCAAGAGCAUGUAUACAGUUUUAUUAGGUAAAGCGAAUGAUUAGAGGAAUCGGAGGUACAAUACCUUCGACCUAUUCUCAAACUUUAAAUUGGUAAGCACCAUUAGUUUUCUUAAUUGAACUAAUGGGUUGAAUGUAGUGCUUUUAGUGGGCCAUUUUUGGUAAGCAGAACUGGCGAUGAGGGAUGAACCUAACGUGGAGUUAAGGUGCCCAAAUUCUCGCUCAUCAGAUACCAUAAAAGGUGUUGAUUCAUAUAGACAGCAGGACGGUGGCCAUGGAAGUCGGAAUCCGCUAAGGAGUGUGUAACAACUCACCUGCCGAAUGAAUUAGCCCUGAAAAUGGAUGGCGCUGCAGCGAGAUACCAAUACUCCACCAUUGAUGUGUGUGUAACAUCAAUGAGUAAGAGGGCGUGGGUGCUGUUUAGAAGCCAUUGGUGUGGACCUAGGUGGAACAGUAUCUAGUGCAGAUCUUGGUGGUAGUAGCAAAUAUUCAAAUGAGAACUUUGAAGACCGAAGUGGAGAAGGGUUCCAUGACAACUGCAUUUGGUCAUGGGUUAUUCGAUCCUAAGACAUAGGGAAACUCCUUUGUACAUUGUGUGCUUAUUCACACAUAGUCAAAAGGGAAUGAGGUUAAUAUUCCUCAAACUGGAUGUGGAUAUUGUAUGGUAACAUAAGUGAGCUCGAAAACGUCGGCGUGUACCCCUGGAAGAGUUCUCUUUUCUUCUUUACAGAUAUGAGGCCUUGAAAUUGGAUUAUCCAGAGAGAAGGCUUCUUGUCUGGUAGAGCAUCUCACUAUAUGAGGUGUCAGGUGCGUUCACGACGAUCCUUGAAAAUUCGAGUGAGGGUUUUAUUUGCACACCAGAUCGUACCAAUAACCGCAUCAGGUCUCCAAGGUU